RNAcentral lists this ribosomal RNA (465 nucleotides) under Vreelandella stevensii. RNAcentral describes it as "partial 16S ribosomal RNA". It matches the Rfam family "Bacterial small subunit ribosomal RNA", at positions 338 to 795 of the family's 1533-position model. The record is from RNAcentral. Lineage: Bacteria; Pseudomonadati; Pseudomonadota; Gammaproteobacteria; Oceanospirillales; Halomonadaceae.
UCUACGGGUGGCUGCAGUGGGGAAUAUUGGACAAUGGGCGAAAGCCUGAUCCAGCCAUGCCGCGUGUGUGAAGAAGGCCUUCGGGUUGUAAAGCACUUUCAGUGGGGAAGAAAGCCUUGGGGCUAAUACCCUCGAGGAAGGACAUCACCCACAGAAGAAGCACCGGCUAACUCCGUGCCAGCAGCCGCGGUAAUACGGAGGGUGCGAGCGUUAAUCGGAAUUACUGGGCGUAAAGCGCGCGUAGGCGGUCUGAUAAGCCGGUUGUGAAAGCCCCGGGCUCAACCUGGGAACGGCAUCCGGAACUGUCAGGCUAGAGUGCAGGAGAGGAAGGUAGAAUUCCCGGUGUAGCGGUGAAAUGCGUAGAGAUCGGGAGGAAUACCAGUGGCGAAGGCGGCCUUCUGGACUGACACUGACGCUGAGGUGCGAAAGCGUGGGUAGCAAACAGGAUUAGCUACCCGAGUAGUC